CCUACGGGAGGCAGCAGUGGGGGAUAUUGCACAAUGGGGGGAACCCUGAUGCAGCGACGCCGCGUGGGUGAAGAAGCGCCUCGGCGUGUAAAGCUCUUUCAGCAGGGAAGAAAAUGACGGUACCUGAAGAAGAAGCACCGGCUAACUACGUGCCAGCAGCCGCGGUAAUACGUAGGGGGAAAGCGGUAUCCGGAUUUACUGGGGGUAAAGGGGGCGCAGACGGCGAUGCAAGCCAGGAGUGAAAGCCCGGGGCCCAACCCCGGGACUGCUCUUGGAACUGCGUGGCUGGAGUGCAGGAGGGGCAGGCGGAAUUCCUGGUGUAGCGGUGAAAUGCGUAGAUAUCAGGAGGAACACCAGUGGCGAAGGCGGCCUGCUGGACUGCAACUGACGUUGAGGCCCGAAAGCGUGGGGAGCAAACAGGAUUAGAUACCCCAGUAGUC
RNAcentral lists this ribosomal RNA (440 nucleotides) under uncultured bacterium. RNAcentral describes it as "partial 16S ribosomal RNA". It matches the Rfam family "Bacterial small subunit ribosomal RNA", at positions 338 to 795 of the family's 1533-position model. The record is from RNAcentral.